Molecule: long non-coding RNA, 2167 nt
Organism: Scophthalmus maximus (turbot)
Lineage: Eukaryota; Metazoa; Chordata; Actinopteri; Pleuronectiformes; Scophthalmidae
Exons: 3
Source: RefSeq, a predicted model, not a curated record
CACACACACACACCCACAGACAACAGAGACGGGAGGGAGGGCCCUCUCCCGUGCUUACUUGGCCAAUCUCCUGAAGUGGAAUGUGGUCAUUCAGGAAGUGGUGGUUGUACCACAUGACGCUGCACCGUCACUGUCAUUCGCCCACAAAGUAAAAGGUCACGGUGACACUGCAGAGGUGAUAUACAACUGGGGGCUGUGACACUGUCUUCUAAGAUCAUUCGAAAAACUCAAAAUAAAAUGUGACUCCAUGCCUGACUCAAUGACAGAAAUGGGACAGAUGCCCCUCGGAAAUCAGAUGAGUUAUGUGGGGCACAGACUUGACGGAGGACAGCGGACAUGUACUGAGGUGUCGCGGCGUUUCAGUCGGGACCGGGGCCGAUGGACCAGCCGACUGCGAAGUGAGCCAACUUGUCCCUCGGUGUUUUGUCGGCCCUUUCGACACCUGAGCGGAGCCUGCCGAACACACACAACAGGGCUGCCGAGGUCAGCAGGACUGGUCUCCCCUCCGCAGCUGCGCCGUCACUUGAACACAUGCCGGCGCUGCUCAGCGCGACGGCAGCCGUCACAGAGCAGCUGGUGGAAUGGCUGGGCGACCAAAGGAAAAGGGAAGAAAAGACAGUCUGCCCCUGUGCGUCGACACACGACGACACCAGCCGGAGGGAGGCGGAGCCAGAGGCAGAGGAAGGCCUGAUCGUGGACUGCUCGGCGUUUGUCAGCAGGCAUGUGCGGGUUUUGCUGACUAGGCCGCGCAUAGUGGCCGUGCUGUAUUUAGCAUGACGAUCCGGGACGUGCUGGGACAAACAUCACAGCCAGCGUUUUUUGCAGAAAAAGCUUGAAAGACAGAACCAAGCCCCCCCCCCCCCCCACCUCCAAAAAAAAAGAUGUAUCAACUGCAAAGCAUCACGUGUCCAAAUCCAGAAGAGUCUUGCGUUGUCAGCAGAGAGAGGGUCCGGUUCCAAAAGCGGACAACAAGGAUUACGGGGGUCGGCGUGGAUUCGCACAAUGUCAGCAGCGAACUGCGGACGUGUAGUCACAGAAGAUUAGAUGGUGUCGGUGCAGGCGAGUGAUUCACAGUGGAAACUUCCUGAAUUAUGGCCAGCGCGAAAUUCAUUACGAUGGAAUGCAUCGUGUUAAGACACUGAUUUGGAAAGGGGGAAAAACCGCAGGGCAAGUGCGGACAGCGGCUUGUUCGUGACACUAGACACCGACGCGGUCCACACAAGAGCGGCUGACAGACGGGCGUUCCCUUCCAGACAGCAGGUGGAGUCAGGGUGGGGUUUUUGGGAUCGUCGCCACGACGGGGGAAACUUUUUGUUUUGCUGUCUCGUGAACCACAAUCGAGGGAAAUUCUCUCGGAGAUGUAAGACGGGGCUUGAGGCAAGAGGCUCGUGGAAAUCACAUCAGCCACAAGCGGCCUGUGACUGUUCAUCAAAUCCCAGGUUCAGGACUGAGAGUAGAAAACCUGUUCACGUGAAGCCAAAACUGAGGGGAAGAAAGUAGAUGUGUUUUCCUUUUCAGAGACAAAGGACGCGUGUUGCAGGCCCAAGUUGCUGUCCACCCGCUAGAGGCGGCUGACUGAAAACUCAAAUGUGGUGCGAUGAGACGGACAGGUUCUUCUCAGCUCUGUUGAGAAAAAAACCCACCAGAGGAGUGAGAUGAUGAGAAGCAGCGACGGUGUCAGUACAUUUUUCACUUCUUGGAGCACUGAGGUUAAAAUGACAAAGUACAAGUAUUUGUGGUGACUUCCAUUGAAGUCGUGACACUGCAAGGGAUGAGGGAUACUCAAACAUUCUGAUUAUUUGAGUAUCCCUUGGUAUGAAUCAAACCAUAAAUAAAAAAAGCUUCAUGUCUUCUAGCUGGGUUAUAGACUCUCAUACCAACUAGGAGCAUCCGAGGUUUCAACGUUCUAAGGCUCACAUUAAAAAAACACACAUAUAUUCCAGUUUUCAGUUCCAGCUGAUUAUGGUAUUCUUAUAUAACUCCUUUCAUAAGAAUUUCUUAUUUUAUACCAUGUAGAAGCUAUAAUAAAAGGUAUUCUUAUCUAUCUUGUAUCAAGGUAUUCUUCGGAAUGAACAGAUGAAUUGAAUGUUUUGUUUGUCCAUACAUUUACUGAAUAUGAAUGCAUGGUUGACAAGAUGCUGUAAGCCUAUGACAUUUCCACAGCUUG